UACAUUUCAAGUGAAACAAUAGAGGGGGAAAAGUAGAAAGUGUUCCCAACAAACAUGCCCUAGGUCACUCUCCUCUUUCUUCACUCGGCUGAAGAAAGGCUGCCUCUACUUAUCUUCAACCUCAAGCUCAACGUAAGCUUACUUCAAACCCUAGCUCUACAAAGUAGAGGAAGAGAAACAAGAAGCUGAACCUUGCCAAGAAUUGUUAAAUACAGCCGCACCUGAAUCCUUGAUGUAAAUCGCUAAAGACAGCCAAAGCUGAACCUCGCCUUCAGAUCGUUGAAGACGAUCUCUUAAAUGGUUAUAGUUGCCUUACAAGUUGAAAACAAAGGUUGUGGAAUAUUCGAAUGGAUACCAAAUUCAAGUCUAAGUUGUAAUAGUUAUCAGACUCCACCUCGGUCCCAUUGUUCGGAAACACCAACUUCAUCAUCUCCUUCCCCUUCAUCAAACUAUAUCAAAGGAUAUUUGAAUGGUGCAAUUAAAGAAUCGGAAGACCAUACGAGGAUAUUGAGAGACGUUCUUGACACAGAAACUUGACUUAAACAAAAGUGUAGAGUGAACUUUGUUAGGAGAGUUGGAAUUUUUGGAAAAGAAAGACUGAUGUCAUUGUGAUGAUAUUGUAUUCAUUAUCAUUUGGUAGUGCCUGGAUUGUAAUAAUUAAUUUAGAUAAGAUAUGUUUUCUGGAUUGUUACAUGUUAA
This is a long non-coding RNA of Macadamia integrifolia, 699 nucleotides long. RefSeq lists it as uncharacterized. The transcript has 2 exons. The record is from RefSeq and is a predicted model, not a curated record. Lineage: Eukaryota; Viridiplantae; Streptophyta; Magnoliopsida; Proteales; Proteaceae.